GUACUGUGAAAAGAUGCUUGGAAGCACAGUCAUGGUCCCUUGCGAAGCUCACAAUCUAGAGAGACACCCUCUUACUGCAGGAUAACCAGUCACUCUAAGCAGCCUGUGGAAACUGGGCUGAACACCCAAUAAAAGCAGAUCAUUCUGGGCUGUGCAGACUGGGGGCAGGAGAGGGAGGAUCUGGAUGGGCCGAGAGAGUGGAAAAGGCUGCUUCGUUUAAGUCAAAGGAGCAGGAACGCUUAGAGUUUGGAGAGGGAGGCCGGUCAGCAGAAGCCCAGGCUCUGCUAUGGAUGAGGUCAAGAGGCUGCUCAGAGCCCCGCGGUUAAGGCUAGCGAGUGUAACCUUUAUCCUCUGGCAACAGAGGGAUGAUAAAAGGUACUGAGAUAGUGAGUGGCAUCACCAAGCUAGAUUUUGGAAGAUUAACUGGCAGCGCUAAGUAGAACGGAGUGAGGAAGGAUUUUAUGUAUUGAGCAGAGCAAUGAAUAGAGAUUUUAAGGUCCUUCUUAGUAGGGAGUCUGUGACUCUAAACUGAAAGACAAGAGGGGAGAAAAAAAGGAAAUGACUCAUAAUCCACGGGAAGGGAAAGGAAGAGAGGAUAGACUUUUUUUUUUAUGACGCUGAAUAUAUAUAUACAUAUAUGGGUGUCAUGCAGUGAGUGGCUUGAUGUGAAAUCUCAGUUCCCAGACCAGGCACUGAACCCAGGCAGCAGCAGUGAAAGCACCGAGUGCUAACCACUAGACCACCAGGGACCUCCCUACACCUCUUUACUCAAUCAAGAGAAACCAGGACGGAAAAGGAGGAGGCCAGGUUGGCCACACCCUCUGUUUUACUGUCCUUCUUGGGUGGUAGUCUCAUCCCUUUAACUCACUCCCCAGGCAGCAGAAUGUGUGACAGACAUGCCGACAGUCCCCAGUCCUGCAAUAACCAGCCAUUUACUGCCUGGGCCUCAACAACAGACAACUUAAAAGGAUGGAGGGGCCUUGAACUAUCAUGUUUGACCUUGGAAUUGCAGGCAGUAAAUACAUUCAAGGCCAUGAAGAGGAAGCAACUUUAACCACUCCCUCAUCUUGAGAACCGAGGAAAGAGUCUGAAGAGGUCUCAUAAGUUAACUGACCACCACCAAAGUAUGGGAAUUAGAUGUUUAACCAUCAGGAAGUGACUAUUAAGCAAAGAAACCAAAGUUAAAACCAGCUCUAAAUGCUUAUUCCCUAGUAGAUAAUUAGUUGAAUAUACUGGCUUUUGUCUUUCUCAACCCAGUUCCAGGUUUUUUGGCAUAACUCUGGAGACUCCUUCCUGUAGGGAAAAAAAUAAGAUGGACAUUGAAAAUAAUAAGCACGGGUCACAGGCAAGCCUAUUAACCCGAAUAAAGUAAUUAUAAUAAUUUCAGGGCAUCUCCAUUGCUGCGCUCAGAUAAUUGGUUUAUAUUUAUAACUAAAAUGACCUUUCCCACAGCUCUAAAGUUUAGUGACGUUCCACUCCAUAAAGAAAAAAGGCGUGCAUAUUUCAGUUACACCCUCCAAAAAUCCAAUUCUGAGGUCUUUAUGGCUGACAAGUGAAAUAGAGCAAGGAGCUACUAUUAUUGGACUCAACGGCAAUAAAAAAAAAAAAAAUCCCAUAACUUCCAUAUACAGCAGUUGGACUUUUAAUGCACUGAAAAAACACUGUGGUGGGAAACUAACAUUUAAUAAGCCCCUACUGGGAGCCAGGGGCCAGCCUUUGGGUGUGGGGAGAGGGAUAAGGGCAGUUAAAGAGACAAAGAUCUCAUCCCAGAGCCGUUCGUAAGCAAUGCUCCUGGGUAGAAGGCACGUCUUGCUAUAGUUGUGCACGAAUAAUAACAGGGCAAGGGGUAAGUGUUGUAACAGAACUACCUGUACAAGGUGCUAUGAGAAGAAAGCAGGUAAGAGUGAGGUUCCUCCACAACAGAGUUCAUGGGAGACAAAUUCGAAGAAUUUGGGAGAAAGAGGAAAGACAUUUAGCUUGAACAUUUACAUUUGAACAUGUUUGAAGCCUCGAGGCCCAGAGGUAUAAUGUACACUAUAAACAUGCUGUAUGUAGCUGUACAUCAAUUACAAAUUAACCUGAGGAGCUCAGGUAUCACGUGCCAGCUGGUUUUCUUAGCUCACUUACAGGCAAGUGGCGAAGCCUCUCCAAGGUCAGUUCAGAUUAGGAAUGGGAUACUGAGCUGCACUGCUGGCAUGCUCCCAAUGUGCCAAAUGUAUACAAAGACUGAGAAAGCCACACCCCGCAAAAUGUUCACCCCAGGUACCUCUGAUGAUGGGACACAGGUGAUUUUUAAAUUGCAUGUGUAUUUUUUCAUAUCUCUGUUUAUAAUGUGAAUUUUAUUGAUGGAGACACCAUCUUUAAAUAAAUCCAUUUUACUGAUUAUUAUUAUGUAAAUCAGUUUUCCUACUGCAAAAGUAGUACACAUACAUAUAUACACACACACAUUUUUAAAAGACAGCAAUAUAAAACUGUAAAAAACCCAGAAAAAUUCUAUGUACUCUACCUUCCAAAAUAACCUCUGUUAACAUGUGGGUACAUUUCCUUCCAGAGGUUUGCUUUAUGCAUAUAAAGGUAUAUAUAUUAUUUUAUAAUCAUAAAACUAUAUAAAUGCUAGAAGUGCAAAAUAGGAAGAUCCUUUUCUGCUUCUAACUCUCUUUAAACAAAAAUAUCUCAGUGAAAUGAGACAUCAGUGAUAUUUGACUUUUUCCUUUUAUUCACAAAACACAAGCACCGGGAACCAUCGUAUGUGACUUGGAAUCUGUGGGUGAGGGGAGUGUCUUGGAUGCUUGAGCAGGAAAGUGGCUGUGACAGUGGUCAAUUAAAAGGCACUUUUAGGAGAAAAAAAAAUACUUCCUCAAGAGAAAAAGAGUACUUCCUCAGUGACCACGCACUGGUCGCCCUACUCGGCAUGCGGCACCUGCCGCUGCUUUGCUGAUUAGCUCAAUACCAAGUGCAUCUCCAGGAACACAUAUAGUCACUGGAGAGGCUGCCGUGAGGCCGGAUUGCUGGUGCCACCUGUUAUGUCAUAGAGCGUGUGGGUGGGUUCCCCUCUGAGGUCUUACUUGAGCUUCUCCAGUCAUACAGUCUGUGAAGGCAGCUUUACUGUAAACAACACCCAGAUAUUGGGGCCUAAGGAGUCGAGGCCCCAGGGCACUGGAAUAGCAUCCUGUGAUGGUAGCUGCAUCCUGCGCCUGGACGGUCACCAUGGCAACCUGAAAGGGGAUGAGGAAUGGCUCCCUGCUUCCUGCCACGUCAAGCACCGAGCAGAAUAGGGCCAGGUCUUCCGGGCUGGUGAACACAAACCUCCUGGCGAAGGUCCUGGUCUUCAAAGACAAAACAAGGCAAGAGCGCCGCUGAGUCAGCAGUGAGAGAAAGGAAUGUGGAGAGUGGGCCCUACGUGGAGACGCCAACCUCCUGUCUGUGAGAGAGAACAAGGCCAGAGGAGGGUGGCUCCCAGGGAGCGGUGGGCUGUGUCCAGCAAGCCUGGGCUCAAGACAUCCACCUGCUUGAGAAUUAGACUCACGGCGGUCAUGGGGUGACGGGCCACGGCAGACGUUGGCAACCUGUGAUGGUCACGGUGCCCUCUGCUUCUGCUUAAAACCAUGCGGGGCUUUGGGGGCAAUGACUGCACAACUGGACCACAUCUGUUCACCAGGAUGGGUCCCCUUGCUGGUGGUCGAAUCUAUAAAGUCGCUUUCUCCUCAUUUCUUCUUCUGGCGAGAGAUGGAACCCAUAGGGCGGGGGGCUAUUUCUGCUAUUUCCUAUAGUGAAAAAGCACAAGGGAGAAUCAAGCACUGUCCAUUCUGAUGUGUACAGGGCACUGCAUCCUAGGAUUCCAAGGGGUGUGUGUUGCGGUGGGCAGGGGGGCGUGGGGGCCGGGAGAUAGCUUGGGUGUCAUCUUUCUUUUAGCACGAAACAGAAAUAUAACAUAGUUCAACUUCAGCUGUCCAUACUAAAUUUCAACAUCAAAGAAACAUUUUUAGCCAGUGUUCCAUCCAUGAAAGUAAUUUGACUCAUUCUGAAAAUUCUUUUUUUUCUCCUUUUUACAGCUGCACCUGCAGCAAAGGGAAGUUUCUGGGCUAGAGGUCGAGUCAGAGCCACAGCUGCCAGGCUAUGCCACAGCCAUAGUAACACUGGAUCCUUAACCCACUGAGUGAGGCCAGGGAUUGAACCCACAUCCUCGCGGACACUAUGUCAGAUUCUUAACCUGCUGAGCCACAAUGCAAAUGCCUGAAACUCGACAAUCCUCCCAUUUUUAAGUUUUCUUCCACCAUGCUCCAUAAUUUGCAUCAUUUCACUUCUAUAAUGUCUCAAGGGCUUGGUUUAUUUACUUAUUUUUUUAAUGCCCAGAAAUAACUUGUCACCAUCUCUAAUGUUCCCACUGAGAGUGCUCAUAGGUUUUUCCUGACGAGCUUGUGGGUCUCCUUUUUCCUCCCUUUAAUCUUCUCCCUCCUGCACCCCCCAGCCUGUGGGAAUCACGCCUGCCUGAAACACAUAAGCACCCAUGGGGCAUCGCGGCCCACAGAGCAGGGACUGCAUUACCAUAAUGACCAGUAUCUGGGCAGGCAGGCAAAGAUGCAGGCAUAAAAUCUGAAGAUCGUAUGAAGCAUCAUGGAAAUCGCUACUGAAAAGGGUUUCUUGGGGCUGCAAAGAGACUCCCCCCAAAAGUUUGCAAUGAUGUAAAUAUUUUAAUUACUUCAUAAAAAACUUCCAGGCAUUGUGUGUGUUGGGGUGGGGGUGGGGGUAACAGAAGAAUAACUGUACAAUCCUUGACCUCAAGGAACCAGCAACCUAAACCUGAUGAAAGAGCUUCAACAGCCUCCAUGAGGCAGACACGGAUAGAGACACACAAAGAGUAGAUUCACUUUUUUUUCUUUAUUUUUUAGGGCUGCACUUGCAGCAUAUGGAGGUUCCCAGGUUAGGAGUCGAAUCAGAGCUGCAGCUGCUGGUCUGCACCACAGCCAUGCCAGAUCUUUAACCCACUGAGCAAGGCCAGGAAUCUAACCCACAUCCUCAUGGAUAUUAGUUGGGUUCUCAACUCUCUAAGCCACAAAGGGAAUUCCAACAGCAGGUUCAGUUUUAAGCAUGUGGACCACAAAGGUUGUACUUUCCCCUCCUAAGCCCCUGCUAGCCCUGGUAACUCACUCCGAAAGGUCCACUCCCAUCACCCACAACACCUGAGCUCCUACUCAUUUGCAGUGCCCCUUCCCAAUGGCACUGCCCUCUGGCCACCCCCAAAGGAAGGGCUCUCUCCCAAUUCAAGCUCAGCUUCCAGCACCUGCCUCUCGGUAGACAUCAUGCAACAGUCCCAACAUCCCGCCAGACAGAGCAGCCACUGGGCACACUGCUGCUCUCUAGGAUUGGAAGCUCUUAAAUGGCAGGGAUCAUUUGGGACACUUCUCUCUGCUCCCCAGUCCCCAGUACAGUCCGGGAUACACAGAAGCUGUCCAAGAAACGCACAGGCCCGACUCAGCAGCAUGUGCCCGUGACCUCUAAAGGUUCAUGUUCCAACCAGACAACCACAUUCAACACUGCCCCCUGAGGUUCUGCUUUACUGACCCUGGAAGCCCUGGCCUCGCUGGGAGGGGUGGGUGGGCAAGGGGGCUGGAGCAGGAGGGAGAGCGAGCCAAUAGCUGAUUCCUCCUGCUCAGGCUCCCAGUGUGGUACCUUGUCAGAGACGUCAGACGUGUACUGACAUGGCAACUGUUAAGACCAUGAUGAAAGGAUGCUUGAAAAAGCAGCGUGAAACUAAGGGUCAGUCUGCUAAGACACAACUGGAACUUUUUUAAAAUUGGUAUUUUAAUUAAUUAAUUGGCCGUGCCCAUGGCAUGCAGAAGCUCCCAGGCUAGGGAUCAAACCCACACCACAGCAAUGACAGCACUGGAUCCUUACCCUGCUGAGCCACCAGGGAACUCCCCACAAUUGGUAUUUCAGGUGUCAGACAAUGAGCCAUUUCUAAAAAGGCAGUUGAAAGGAACCCUUUUUUAUGUUUUUAUUCCCCACUGUGACAGAGACCCCCAACACUCACUCAGCCACACUUGUUUCUCCUUUUCUUGUGAGGCGCGAGGAAAUCACCCCUCCUGAGCCCCUUAGAACGUUUCCUGACGGAUCCCUCCAAAAGUGGGCUGGGCAGGCAGAGCCCCGCACUCGCUCCCGAGGGGUCAACUCCACUUCGAGUUUUUUUUGACGGGUGAGAUAUUUGCCAUUUUAUCAACUGUGAUUAAAGACGAUGCUCAAACAUGUGUAAGACUUUCCACAUUUUAUGCACACUACAAGACUAAAAGUUUUACUGAAUGUAGUUUUUGCCCUAUAUAUUUGUAAAGGACUUUCUGUUCAAAGUGGUAAACGCUUGGAAAUUACAGAGACCUUUGUGAAUCCAAUGACCAUUAGUUUAAUGCUUCCAAUUGCUUUGUGUGAUGAGAUCCAAAUCCUGCUUUUUCCUUUAACAGUUGUUUUUUUUUAAACAAGUCCAUUCUUAAUUGCACUUAUGAGCUCAGGCCAGCGUGACAGCUGGUUCCAGCCGGGCAGGGGACCAUGAGGCCUGGCUGUGGGCAGAGGCAGAGGCAGGCUCAACGUGGCAUCUGGACUCUGGGCCACAGGCCACGAGCCCACGGAGGCUGAAAAAGUGUGUAGGCUCCCAAAGACAAUCACAGUGUGUCUGAAGGAAAAGGCCUCUUCCACGAAGGGAAAAGAUGCGUAGCCUGUACUGGGGCUCUCUGGACCCUGGCAUGGGGCACUUGAGGAGAACCAGGAUGGAGCCAGCGGAAGAAAUGCCACACGCUGCAGCAGAAAACUCACAUCAGGAGAGGAACAACAGUCUCUCUUUCACAAGAGAGACGUCUUCUUUUAUGAUUAUUUUACUAUUUUUGGAUUAUUUUAUUAUUACUUUAGUUUUUUAUAAAGUAUAGUUGAUUUACAGGGUUGUGCCAAUUUCUGCUGUAAAGUGACCCAGCCAUAUAUAUAUAUAUGCAUAUACACACACAUGUAAUUCCCAUCAAGCUCUAUCCCAAAGAGACUGGACACAGUUCCCUGUGCCAUAUAGCAGGACCCCAUUGGCCAUCCAUUCUAUUGUGUAUUUCUCUUUUGAUAUAUUUUAUUUACUUCGUAUUUAUAUUGCUUAAAAUUAUAGUCGAUGUACAAUAUUGUGUAAUUUCUAUAGCACAGCAAAGUGACCCAGUCAUUCACACACACAUACAGUCCCUUCCUUUUUUUUUUUUUUUUUUUAAUCUUUUUAGGGCCGCACCCAUGACAUAUGGAGGUUCCCAGGCUAGGAGUCAAAUCGGAACUGUAGCCACCAGCCUACACAUCAGCCACAGCAACUUGGGAGCCGAACCACAUCUACACCAACACCAGAGACAACGCCAGAUCCUUAACCCACUGAGCAAGGCCAGGGAUCGAACCUGCGUCCUCAUGGAUAUCAGUCAGUCAAUUUUCCUGAGAAGUUUUCAAGCCUAAAUUAAUCUUGAUGUCUCGGAAGGCAAUGACGGAUUGGAGGUCUCAUCUGUGCUUUGGGUCAGUGCCACACUAGGAACCAGGCCUCCCAGCUACUCCACUUGGUCUCAGCUAAACUCCGUCUUCCAAUUCUUCACCUUUUCAUUUAUUUUUUAAGCUAUUUCUAUAUUUUCUGCUUCUGUCACAUGCUCUCUUACUUCCCUCUUUAGCCUCCAGGAUCCUCUGCAAGCAUUUCUCAAAGGGUCUAAGAAAUGGGCUUUGAAUCUGUGCUUACCCGUAUCAAGUUCCUAGAAAAGGAACCGGGUGGGCCUCCGCUGAAGGGUGAGAGGAGGAGUCCCCGAGGGUGUCCUGGAAAAAGUGUUGGUAGGGAAACGGGAGACGCCUCCAGCCCUGCCCAGACGCAGAGGGGACAUCCAGGCAAGUCUUCGUUUCUGCAGGCCCUGCCUGGUUCACGUGCCAGGGACGGCUGGGGCACAAGGUGACUGCCAGGGUCCCCGCCAUGACUCUGGAGUUUGAUGACUAGGAGGACGGCCUGCCUCCUCCAGGAGAGCUACCAUCCUUGAGCAAGGAGGUUACCUUCCCUCGGCCUUAGUUUCCUUAUCUCUAAAAUGGGGAGAGUAAGCGUCACUCCUUGGCUGGACUACUGAGGGGAAAAGAGGAGCUGAGGUGUGCACAAUGCCUGGCUGAGUGUCGGGUGCUCAGUUAAUGUCUGAGAAGCAUGGAUGUUAGAACUUGUCCCCUCUAAUAUCACUGGGAAGCAGGUGUUAAAUGGCUCCUUGUUAUUAUCAUUGACUAAGAUGGAUUCAAAAUAAAAUGAUCAAUGGAGUUCCCUAGUGGCUCAGUGGGUUAAGGAUCUGUCAUUGCCAGUGCUGUGGCUCGGGCUGCUGCUGUGUCUCGGGUUCAAUCCCUGGCCUGGGGACUUGUGCAUGCUGCAAGCAUGGCC
RNAcentral lists this long non-coding RNA (8398 nucleotides) under Sus scrofa (pig). RNAcentral describes it as "lncRNA (ENSSSCG00055027268.1)". Lineage: Eukaryota; Metazoa; Chordata; Mammalia; Artiodactyla; Suidae. The record is from RNAcentral.